RNAcentral lists this small RNA (1428 nucleotides) under Pongo abelii (Sumatran orangutan). RNAcentral's name for it is "retained intron". Lineage: Eukaryota; Metazoa; Chordata; Mammalia; Primates; Hominidae. The record is from RNAcentral.
GAAAUGCUUUCGAUAGGCACUCCACGGCUGUGAAGAUGGCGGCGGCUGCGUGGCUUCAGGUGUUGCCUGUCAUUCUUCUGCUUCUGGGAGCUCAGCCGUCACCACUGUCGUUUUUCAGUGCCGGACCGGCACCCGUAGCUGCUGCCGACCGGUCCAAAUGGCACAUUCCUAUACCGUCGGGGAAAAAUUAUUUUAGUUUUGGAAAGAUCCUCUUCAGAAAUACCACUAUCUUCCUGAAGUUUGAUGGAGAACCUUGUGACCUGUCUUUGAAUAUAACCUGGUAUCUGAAAAGCGCUGAUUGUUACAAUGAAAUCUAUAACUUCAAGGCAGAAGAAGUAGAGUUGUAUUUGGAAAAACUUAAGGAAAAAAGAGGCUUGUCUGGGAAAUAUCAAACAUCAUCAAAAUUGUUCCAGAACUGCAGUGAACUCUUUAAAACACAGAGCUUUUCUGGAGAUUUUAUGCAUCGACUGCCUCUUUUAGGAGAAAAACAGGAGGCUAAGGAGAAUGGAACAAACCUUACCUUUAUUGGAGACAAAACUGCAAUGCAUGAACCAUUGCAAACUUGGCAAGAUGCACCAUACAUAUUUAUUGUACAUAUUGGCAUUUCAUCCUCAAAGGAAUCAUCAAAAGAAAAUUCACUGAGUAAUCUUUUUACCAUGACUGUUGAAGUGAAGGGUCCCUAUGAAUACCUCACACUUGAAGACUAUCCCUUGAUGAUUUUUUUCAUGGUGAUGUGUAUUGUAUAUGUCCUGUUUGGUGUUCUGUGGCUGGCAUGGUCUGCCUGCUACUGGAGAGAUCUCCUGAGAAUUCAGUUUUGGAUUGGUGCUGUCAUCUUCCUGGGAAUGCUUGAGAAAGCUGUCUUCUAUGCAGAAUUUCAGAAUAUCCGAUACAAAGGAGAAUCUGUCCAAGGUGCUUUGAUCCUUGCAGAGCUGCUUUCAGCAGUGAAACGCUCACUGGCUCGAACCCUGGUCAUCAUAGUCAGUCUGGGAUAUGGCAUCGUCAAGCCACGCCUUGGAGUCACUCUUCAUAAGGUUGUAGUAGCAGGAGCCCUCUAUCUUUUGUUCUCUGGCAUGGAAGGGGUCCUCAGAGUUACUGGGGCCCAGACUGAUCUUGCUUCCUUGGCCUUUAUCCCCUUGGCUUUCCUAGACACUGCCUUGUGCUGGUGGAUAUUUAUUAGCCUGACUCAAACGAUGAAGCUAUUAAAACUUCGGAGGAACAUUGUAAAACUCUCUUUGUAUCGGCAUUUCACCAACACGCUUAUUUUGGCAGUGGCAGCAUCCAUUGUGUUUAUCAUCUGGACAACCAUGAAGUUCAGAAUAGUGACAUGUCAGUCGGUGAGUUAUAAGCACAUUUAUGAAUAGUGUACUGUCUUAUAAACAACUGAUGAUGUUGAUGACAGUGGUAAGGUUCUUCUGUUAUAUACCUUAU